AUACGGAGGGUGCGAGCGUUAAUCGGAAUUACUGGGCGUAAAGCGUACGUAGGCGGUUGGUUAAGUUAGAUGUGAAAUCCUUCAGCUUAACUGUAGAACUGCAUUUGAUACUGGUAGACUAGAGUUUUGGAGAGGGAAGUAGAAUUUCAGGUGUAGCGGUGAAAUGCAUAGAGAUCUGAAGGAACACCAGUGGCGAAGGCGACUUACUGGCCAAAAACUGACGCUGAGGUGCGAAAGCGUGGGUAGCGAACAGGAUUAGAAACCCUAGUAGUCC
RNAcentral lists this ribosomal RNA (274 nucleotides) under uncultured bacterium. RNAcentral's name for it is "partial 16S ribosomal RNA". It matches the Rfam family "Bacterial small subunit ribosomal RNA", at positions 523 to 796 of the family's 1533-position model. The record is from RNAcentral.